Molecule: long non-coding RNA, 319 nt
Organism: Xiphias gladius (swordfish)
Lineage: Eukaryota; Metazoa; Chordata; Actinopteri; Istiophoriformes; Xiphiidae
Exons: 3
Source: RefSeq, a predicted model, not a curated record
CACACGGUGGGUGGUGUUAGUCUGAAGAUACCGCCACCAAAACCGAUUCAGCAGUAACGGAAACGGCACCUUUGGCUGUCAGCUGCUGUAUUUGUACAUGUAUGGACAGUGUGCAUGUAGGCCCUGAUGGCAGUGAUCUCUCAGACAGUGAUGAUGAUCCCACGACCUUCACCAGGAGAAGCAGGGAGUGAAGAGACAGAAAUCAGGAGGGUCGGAAAACAAGAUACAUACUCAGUCGGCUUCCAGAAGUGUCCGGGAUGAGACAGCCUGCGGUUCAGCUUGGGAAGCCUCUCCAGCAUGCCUGCCAGCUGGGUGAACG